Molecule: ribosomal RNA, 382 nt
Filed under: Gottfriedia luciferensis
Lineage: Bacteria; Bacillati; Bacillota; Bacilli; Caryophanales; Bacillaceae
Description: bacterial SSU rRNA
Rfam family: Bacterial small subunit ribosomal RNA
Source: RNAcentral
AGGAACUCCUGUUCCUUUGUUGAAAGAUGGCUUCGGCUAUCACUUACAGAUGGGCCCGCGGCGCAUUAGCUAGUUGGUGAGGUAACGGCUCACCAAGGCGACGAUGCGUAGCCGACCUGAGAGGGUGAUCGGCCACACUGGGACUGAGACACGGCCCAGACUCCUACGGGAGGCAGCAGUAGGGAAUCUUCCGCAAUGGACGAAAGUCUGACGGAGCAACGCCCCGUGAGCGAUGAAGGCCUUCGGGUCGUAGAGCUCUGUUGUUAGGGAAGAACAAGUGCUAGUUAAAUAAGCUGGCACCUUGACGGUACCUAACCAGAAAGCCACGGCUAACUACAUGCCAGCACCCGCGGUAAUACGUAGGUGGCAGACGUUGUCCGGA